Long non-coding RNA from Equus caballus (horse), 9245 nucleotides. RefSeq lists it as uncharacterized. The record is from RefSeq and is a predicted model, not a curated record. Lineage: Eukaryota; Metazoa; Chordata; Mammalia; Perissodactyla; Equidae.
AGACCCAGAAAUCAUUUAUACCAAGCUGUAGCUAUCAUUUUUACUUCCCUUGGAAGGAAAACUCCUUGGAAUUAUUUCAUAUAUAAACUCUCAAAAAUAUUUUAAAGUAAGCUUCAUUAAUCACGGCUUGGCUGUUUCCUAGGCCUUGUCCCAAAGGUCUGGUAAGCUUUAAAUCCCUAGUGACACCUGCUGGGCAGACCUUGCUCACGGCUGCAGGCUUUCCAUCAGCCUACCUCUUCUUUAACAUGCAAAGCUGCAGGCCGCGAGGUAAGGGGCUGGCCGCCGCCUCCUCAGCUCGCAGCCAGUCUGCUCAUUCCUCAUGCAGGUGACCUCUGCCAGAACAACGCUGCGCUAGAUUCUCCCCAGCGCUCUCUCGGGAAUUGAUUUCCAACCUGUCCACCCCCCAGGAAACAAACAGGGAUCUUUCAAAGUUGGAGAGCAAGAAGGAGAGAUAGAGAGGAGAGAUCCAACAGGAUCCGCCCCCACUCCCAGCCCCAAGUUACUAUAAGCUGCUUCUUUGUCUGAAAACUCGGAGGUGAAAGAUGCUACUUGAGCCGUAUGUUUUGUUCAGCACAAACCAAAUUAUGCUAUACUUGCUUAUAUCUGAACAUAUUGGUUUAUCUUACAUAGAGUUUAAUUGAUGCAAACUUGAACUUCAGUAUGUUAAAUUCUCAGAGAAAACACCAUCCCUGUGAUUUAGAUUGCUGUGUUUUUCUUUGAACAAAGCAAAGAGGAGCAAAGCAAUUACACCUCAGCUUCUGUUUAUUUCUUCCACAUUCACCAACCAUUACAAAAAUAGCGUUCAACCUCUUGUAGUGUUACUUCUUGUGUCCUUUACUGUCCAAUUGCAAAAUUUCUUUCUGAGCCGACAUCUGCAUCCUUGGACAGAUCAACUAGUGUGUAAAGUCCGUGUUAGCCGAUCAAGCAUGGCUUUGUUUGCGCUUAUUCACUGCGCAUCCAGCACUGCGUAAGUGGUUUUGCAUAUUAACUAAGUGCACAGUAACCUUCCUUUACCUCCUCAGAGCUCCACCCCCUCCCACCCAGCCUCCUCGGGAAAUCAACACUGUUACUCGCUGAGGAAGCUGCCAAGAGGUUGCCAUGGCAACUGUUCUGCUUUCAGCAGCUACUUUUCUGAUUUGAAGAGGGGUGGGGGGUUGGGGGGGAGAAAAAAAAAACCUGAGGAGAACUAGGUGGCUUUCUGAUCAGAGUUCAGAUAAAGAGGGUCACAGUAAUUUGCGGGCACUGCCUAAAAUAACCCAAUGGAUUCGAGAGUUGCAGCCAAAGAAGCAAACAAACAAAAAAGAGCCAAACAAAGAUGAUGAGCUUUAUGAGAUUAUAAACGGCAAGGGGGUAAAACAGCACCAGAAUGGGAAUCUAACAUCUGAAAGUCAUUUUCCAAAACUUCAUUCAGCACGGGAACAAUGCCGCAUUCAGGCGUAAUGAGCUGAGAAGGCGUGGUGCGCCAGGUCAAACUGGCGGUCUCUGAGCUCCUCUCAACGGAGUGCUUUGCCAAGAUGACAAGAGGGAAUGAAACAGAAGUUUGAAGAUGCAAAAUAAAAUAAGGCCAAAGACCUAAAGCAUUUUGUUUGAGCAAAGUUGUGCAAAGAACUAGAAGCCAGUCUAGAAGGGGAGUAGAUGAUAUGGACUGCACCCUACAUCGGAGCUCUCCGAAGUUAAAGCGAGGUAGGUAGAGUUCAAAAUGGUGUGGGUUCUCCUGUGUAUCAUCGAUGUAGCUGGAGGCCCUCUGUUAUAUAAAAGAAACAGGAUGGAGAAUGACAGUUCCUCUCAGACUACAGUAAAUGUGAUUAAAUUAUCUCAUCAGCUUCAUACUCCUGAGUAUUUCUGCAAUGCCAGGAAACCAUGCGUGAAUCUGACCUGUCUGCCGGCCCCUCAGACAGCACAGGCUAGAGGUAUUAGUAUUCAAAAAAAUCCCUCCCUCAAAUGGCCGGGUGGACGGCUACCAAGUUUUGUCUGUGUAGCAACUGAGUCCAGGAAUGAGACGCGGAGAAAUAAUAAGGGGGGAAGGAAUGAAAGCAAAGAGGAAAUUCAGAAAUUUGUUUUAACUCUGCCACAGCUUCUAUUUCAUCUCUUUUCACUGACCUGAUCUAAUUCAAGCAGCUAUUAUCCCUGUGAAACACUGCCACAGCUGAAUGUAUUUUUAUUUUCCCUGCUCAAAGGCGAUGUAAAGGGAAUUUGAGAGCACAUCACCUUCAGGGAAAAGACUGCAGCGUAUUACUCACUGCCUCCCUCCUCCCCUUUGCGUGAAAAGGUUAAUUUGAAUAAGGCUGCUGCUGCCACAAAUAGAACAGUAACCAGCGCACAGAGGAACCGCCAAUGAGAAUGUUUUUCAAUGAUGUCAUACUUAUACCUGCUCCUUAUUAUUUGCUGAGUCGUGACAAUGUGUUCCUUGAAUCUCACAUUUUAUUGGUGGAGAGCCCUGUCAUUUUGAGUGCUUCUGGAGACUUUUAGACCCUGCAGUUUCUUUCCAAGCCCAGGAUUUUUUCAGCUUUUGUACUUCUACUGUUGGAGAAUACAGAAUAUUUUAAACUGUCGUCCUGAGAGCAAAUGAAAACCUUUUAUAAUUUAUGCCUGAUUUCCACGGCCCCUGAUACUAGACCCAUUUGCAGUGCAAAAGCAGCACAAAAAAGACUGAUUUUUGUUAAAAAAAAUAAAAAACAACCUUUGAACCAAACUUUUAUCAAAGUGUUCAUAGAAAGAUCAUGCUUAGCUUAAUAUUAUCACCACUGGCAGAAUGGAAAACAAAAUGAUUCCAUUUAUUCUACAACAACUUGUUGCCCCAUGGGGCAGAGCUUUCUUGAAAAGACCUGGUUCUAAAUUUCCCGGAUUGUAGCAUGGAUGGCAUUGGAGGAAUGGAAACGUUCCUGGGUUAUUUUUGUCCUAAGUAGAUUUUAUUUUUUAAAUCAGUUAGGUUUUUGUGUCAUUAAAAUGUGUGCCUCAGGUCACUCAGAUUCCAGGCCUUUUCCAAGGAAACUCCUGGAAACAGGUUUGAAAACCACACUACCCUAUAGUGAAGGCCAGAGUUAGAGAAAUCAGUUGUUCAUGAGUUAGGAAUUAUUCAAUGAACUGAAGGAUUCAAAGAAAUAUUCUGGUCAUCAGGAGAUACAGAUGUGGUUGGGAGAAAGAAAUGUUGGUGCUCCAAAAGGUCUCAGAAGCUAUGGUGGUGAGUGGGCAAAGUCAGGUCCUCAGAGACUUAGAAGAGCAAGUCAAGCCGUCCAUGGUGAGUUGGUGAAACAGAAUGUAUAUAUUGGAGGUUAAUCUAUUACGCAGGCAGCCAGUAUAUUAAAUGCUCCAGUGAGAAGCGCAGGGCAUGAAAGGAACAGGCGCAUUGUAAUGGGCAGAGAGGGACUGGAAAGGGUUCUUGUGUGGGACGUGAGAUGAGAAAGGAUGAGUAUGUAUGGAACAGACCUCCUUGAGUGGAUUUAUGUAUUGUGAGAUAAAUUUAGAAAAGCAGGUGCACAGAUUAGCAAAGACAAUGUAAUUAGAAGGAGAAAGUACCAGAUAUUUUGAACAUACGUAUCUCAAAUUCAGUAACUAAUAUCAAAUAUUUUAAAAUGGAAAUGUCUUUGCAGCUGUGUAUCAUGGUGUAUUGUUUUACCGAGUCUGAUGAGGGGUUAACUAGAUGUUAUAAAAAUUUGAUUAUUUUGUACCUUAAAUAAAUGCUUGUACAAAAUUAACGUGGACUUUGAACUUUCAAUGAGAAUCUUACUGUGUUAAGAACAUGAAAAAUGUGACCAAAAAUAAAGUAUAAUUGUGGUAAAGACUAGAGAAUAUAAUUCUACCCUUCUAUUAUAGUUAGAAGGACCUACAGCCGUAUUUACCGUACUUGAACUUCACAGAACUUCCACCAAUAAACUGCAUGGACAUUUUGAUUCCAGACAUCUGUCUAUAAUGAUAGCAUCGUGGAAAGUAUAGUGGCCUCUAGUGUCAGACUGACCUGGGUUCAAAUCGCAGCUCCAAAACUUAGUAGCUGUGUGACCUUGGUCAUAUUAAUUAAUGUCUCUAAGCCUCAGUUUUGUUGAGGGAUAAUGAUGACACCUGUAUAUAGGAUUAUUGUGAGGAUUAAACUGGGUAAUGUAUACAUUUUUAUUAGUGUUGUGCCUGUUGCAGUAAAUGAAAGAUUUUUGUUUGUUUGUUUAUUAUUUUAACCUUAUUACCUUUAAGGUCCUUCAAGUGCCUACAUGAUCUGGUACCUGGCUGACCAUUUCCUUUCACUCUCUGCCGCUCUGUUCCAGCCAUGUUGGCCUUCUUGCCACUUUCCAAACAUGCCUGAUGUGCUUUGCCUUUGCUGAUCUCCUUUCCUAGAGCUCUUCUCCUCCCAAGUUUAACCUCUGUACUUUAUUCAAGUCUCAGCUCUUAUAUCACCUCCCCUGAGAAAUCUGACUUAACCUGUCUACACCAGCAUCCCUAUUGCUCUCUUUCCCAUUACACCAUACCAUGCUCUUUCAUGGUCACUUACAACUACCAGACAUUACUUUACGGUUGCAGUUUUUAUUUGUUCAUUAUCUGUUUUGCUCAGUUGAAUGUUAGGUCCAUUUGAAUAGCGGUGUUGUUCACCUCUGUGCCCUAGAGCCUAGAACAGUGCCAGAACAUAGUAGGUUCUCAAAGAUCUUUGUUAACAAACAAAGAUGAAGACAGCAAUGGGAACCCCAAGUUCUUCAGGACAGUGCCAUCACAGGGAUGGAGUGCAUUGACAAGAGAGGGGUUCUGAAGAUCCUCGCCCCUUACCAAAGUUCAAGAUGUAUGCAAGCUUUUCUUAUUGAGCCAAGAGGAACCAUUUUAAUUUGCCCAUCACAUCUAAAGGAUUAAAUUAUAAGACAAUGAGAAUAUAUAGUUCUAGUAUUCUUUACACAAAGCAUGCCAAUGCUUAUCAGGGUAGAUGAGAUGGGGGGAAGCUGGUACAAAUUACCGGGCCAAUGGUCCAGAAGAGAUUCCAGAGCAAAUCCUGGGUGAAGAUUUUGGGCUGGUGUACUCUUUCUGAGGUCUACCAUGUUUUCCCCCACCAGGCUUUCCCAAACCUACUCGUGUUGGCCCCGAUUUUCAUGAUUUUUUUGGUACCAUCUAGGGAAUUUGGAUCAGUAACAAUUAGAGAGCAAAAUAGUAAAUUCAGGACAGUAUUCAAGACAUUCUCAACAUUGCACACACUUACACAUUAAUACACAUAUGUAUUGAAUGAACCAAUUGCAAAUUCAGAAAAUAUUUUAAGAUCUUUCUACUCUGUCUCCCAGUCAGUCAAUCAUGAUGAUAAAACACACCCUCUUUCAGAUUUCUAUUUUCCCGGUAGCUGAAGGACAAUAUCAGAUAGCAUAGAGCUUAUGUAAGCAUUAUCCGUGCUGACAUUCCAAAUGAGCAGACCUAAUGCCACCUAAUCAUUUGGUUACAGCUUGGACUUGGCAGUCUUUUAUAAAGUACUGAAUUUGAAGGAGCAUCUGCCUUUUACAUCUUGGCUAUGUCAGCACCUGUGGCUGCUGCUGCUUCUUGAAACUUCUUAACAUAAUAAAAGUAAUAUGAAAUAAAAUCGUUGGUAACCAGAAUGCUUUUGAAAGAUUAUAGAUUCGUGGGCAAAAUUCAGAAUGUAGAGCCUAUUUUUAAAGAAAAUUGCCUCUCUUCUCUGACACCUUCCUCCUCUGGUUCCCUCAGUUUUAGUUCUCUUAGGUUAGGGCUUCUUUCACCUGGAGAUCUUGUUAAAAUGCAGAUUGUUUCAGAAUGUCCGGAGUGGGGCAUGAAAUUCAGCAUUUCCAACAAAAUGUCUAGGUGAAGCAAUGUGCUGGUCUUGGAGUAGCACGAUUUAGAUAGCAUAAUACCACAUGUCUGCUUCUGCUCUUCCAAAUUAACAUAACAUUUUAAAACGAAGCAGUUCAGUGUUCUCCUCCACCCGCAUUUUAUCCUAUCUGGGUUUAGAGAUUUUACUCUGAGGUGUAUUCACAUCCAAUUGGUACUCAAGCCUUUUUGAGUCUCUCUAAAGAAUGUUUCUCUGCCGUCCAUCUGCACAGGUACUGGCUCGCUGAGACCAUCCUCAUCUUUCUCCUGCAAAGCUACAAUAAACUGUAACUUCUCUCUCAAUCCCCAGCCUUCUCUCCUUCCAACCCAUCAUCUAUAUUCGGUCACCCUACUUUCCUUACAAAAAAGUUGUUUUUGAUGAGGUCACUUCCUUGAUUAAAGACCCCUGCUGGUUCCCCUUGCUUAAAAUAGAGGUUGAUGUGGGCUCUGUCAUCUGACAAACCUGGGCUGGAAUCCAAGUUCUUUCAGUGUCUUUUUAUGUAACUUUGGACAGCUUCCUUAAUUUCUGAGAGCCACACUUUCCUCAUCUGCACGACGGAGAUAAGGCUAUUUAUCUCAUGGUGUCAUCACAAGAUUUAGAUGCAAACUUGAGGUAAAGCAUCUGGCAUGAUGCCAGCCAUAGUAAAUGUUCAAUAACUUAACUACUUCCCCCCCAUUUUUCUGUCCAGUCUGACCAAUUUGGCUUUUUCAACCCCUUAAAUGGACACUCUUGAACCUCUUCUUGUCCUCCCUCCACAUCACACAUACGCAUUCCCUAGCGUCACUGAACAUUUCCUUUUCUGAUGCAUCUGCUGAAAGACUCUUCCCAUUCUCCUCCAUCUGGCAAAUCCCCUUGGCUCUUCAGGCCGCAGAUCCUUUGCUUGCAUCCCUAAGAAGCCUGAGCCUGCAUCUUCGGGCAGAAUUUGCCAUUCCCCUCUUGUCUUCCCACACGACUGUGCUCACACUUCUCCCAUAAUGCACUUGCUGUGAUGUGCUGUUAUGAUUGAUGCCAUGGCUGUUGCCCUGACUCAAUUGUAACCUCUCAGUGGCCAGGACUCUCUCUUAUUUCCCAAUCUUUAGUGACUUGAGCAGUUGCUGAAUAAAGGAAUGGAAUCAAUGUGGCGUGUGGUUUAAAGAAAUGAGUGCUUAAAUAUUAUAUUGUAGAAACUAGAGAAAAUAAUUAUGAAAUAAUAAUAAUAUCUUAAAGUAAUAACCCCCAUUUUCUAGCUUAUUUGACUGCUUUCCAGGCCCUGUUUAAAAUGCUUUAUACACACUAUCUCACCAGAUUCCCUUGACUGUCUUUUAUUGUAGGUGCUAUAAUACCAUUUCACAGAUAAAGAAACUCACAUUCAGAAAAGUUGCAGUUUAUAAUUGUUAGAUUAGGGAUUUGAAGACUUGUCUGACUCCAGAGUUUCUCUUCUGUACAGCACUGUCUCAUGCAAUCUGCUGCCCUAGCCUGGUUUCAGCUUCUUAGAUGUAGAUGAAGAUCAUGGACAGAGAUCUUUACUAGAGAAGAAUCUGUGAAGCAGAUAAAGGCAUCUCUGCCGAGUCAUAGACUUAAGUGGUCUGGAGAUAGCGGUUAUUAGGUAGAUAAAACAUAACUCAGAACUCUAAAAUUCCAAUGUCUGGACACCUCGUAAAUCCUUUCCUUUUCGCUUAUUAUUUGUUUUGAAAAAGCCAUUAAACAGUCUUGUUCCUGAGGGAGGACUAUUUUAAUGAUGCCUUUUUGACUUUGGAAGAUACUUUUCAUUUUCCCCACACCGUAGUUUCAUAGGCAGGCCUCACACAGAUCAUUUCUUUAACUAAAUUUUGUAGGAGAGCUCAUUCCUGUGGGCUCAAAGAAACCAAGCUAACACUAAGGCAAAUCGUGAAAACUGCUGUGUGUUCUCUGCUCCUGGGAACUGCUCUUUGUAACAGAUCCUCCAGGUAUUUUCAGUAGGGGAAAUCUUGUCUACAAGAGCCUGAUUAUAGGAAAUAAUCAUAUAGCUAAUUGCAUCUGCAAUUAACGACAAAUCUGUAGCUUGAUGGGCAAUUGUGAUCCCAGAUAUUUGAAGCCUCUCAGCAAAGCAACUAUAAACUGUUAGAAAAGUUCUCAGUGGCAACCCUAGGAACAAACGGUGGAAGUUUAUUUAUUUAUUUAAUGGUCUUAUUGACCCCUUGGAAACUUCUCAACCUAGACAUACCUGGCAUUCUGUUAAAUCCGUAGGAUUUCUGAAUCUGUUGAACGUAUCUAGAUGUAGAAUAAGCCAGAAUAUUUGGAAAUAGGAAGUGGAUACUUAGAAAUACUUUAAUACCUGGACCUUAUUUCUCUAAGAGUGUUCCCUGGAACAUUAGUUCCACAGGCUGUUAAGAGAUGUCAGGUGAGAAAAUAAAGUGUUCCAAGGUCAAAUUCACAGAGAAACACUGAGUUUAAAGAAAGCCACUGGUUUCUUUGCUCCUGGACGUCUCAGAAUCUUUACUCUGUCAGUGUGUGUUAUGAGUCUCCUGGGAUAGAACAGUGGUUGUCUUUUUGAUUUGUUUUGUUCAGGGAGCAUCUCAAAACACUGAUCUGCAGAGUAGGCACUGUGGAGCUGUGGGCACAAGUUUUCUGCCCCCUGGGCUUUCAACGUAUUUUGUCUGGCUAUGGCUAACGUCCUACUCACUGGUGGGCACCAUUGUAGCAACUCUGCAGAGUUGAUAUCUAGAGAGUAAUAAAAUAGAAGUCCUACAUACAAACACAAAGAAGCAAAGAUAAAUAAAACUUUGGUAUGACCCAUGACAUGGAGGGAUUUCUGUAAUUAUAAAGAUUGAAAAUUUAAGAAUCAAACGAAUCCCAAAUAGUACCAUAAACACAAUUUAAAUUGAGUGAAUUCAUUUGGAUAAGCUUGAAACUUUAUAUUUUCUCCAGAUUAUUGCUAAGAACACUGCUAAUUUUCAAAAAAUGUUAAAAUAUCACACGCAAUAAUAAUGCAUUGACAAAAAUAAGAAAAUUUAAAUUUACGUAAUCAAGCAUAUGGAUAAUUCAGAAGUCUGGUUAUCAAGGUCUCCAAGUCACUUUCUAUUUCUGUUCCAAAUCUUACCAUCAGGAAAUCAUGGCCUAUAAGUACCUGUACAGUGUGGUCAUGAGGAAUAAAGUUAGGCAUAUUCUACUAUUGCAGUAGCAGAGUCAAUGGGCAAGAGUCUAAACCCAAAGUUAGUGUGAAGUCCUGGUUUCAUUUUAUUAUUGAUAAACAUGUGCUCUCUCAUUAGAGAUACUUGAGUGGUGGCUGGCAAAGUAGUUUUGCAUUUUAUGCCUGAAAACAUUAGGAGUAAUAAGGUGUGUGACCAAGAGAUGGUCAAGUGUUGAUAACCAUAUGGGGUCUGGAGGUAGACAUAGAUGUAGAUUGCAAAUUGGUGGAGUGUCAUCUGUUCUUUCCCCGUUUGGUAGGAGAAAUUUAUUUUCAUUAAAGACCCCCUUCUGGAAAUUAAAAACUCAGUUCCUCAGUUGC